GAUGUAUUGUGUGUAAAUUGCAGAUCUUGUACAAAAUCCAACUACAAAAUGUGUAAUUUGUAAAUGCAAAACCUACCAUCCAUCUACUUGAUUACAAAUUCUAGAUGACACAGCUGUUCCAUAACUGAGUCCUAGGUGGAUUUUUCUGUAUCUUGUUCCUAAGUUAAAAAAGGAAAUUAAAGUGCUCUUUGUGGUAUUUACUAAAUUUAGCUUUGAAUAAUUUCCUCUUAACUUUGUAAAUCUGAAAGUUUAGUAAACCCAUGUAACCAUUAACAGCAGCUUUGAAUAUGUGUCAAAAAUGUAUGCCAAUACACUGAGACAAACAAACAAAAAAGAAAAAAACACCACAAAGUGACUUAUUCAAAAGCCUUCUAUUGGAGAAAGCUAUUAAAGAGGCAAAGCUUCUUAUCUGGGAAUUAUAGCUUGGUUUAGUAGUCUUGGAUAUGGAGACUCCUCAUCUUGGAGUGCUUCCACUACAGGCUCUCCACUGCUGAUCACAGAAAAUCUGCCAACUUGUAAAAGGAGAAUUGUCACCAGAGUAUUAUCAUAUUGCCGGUAGGCGGAUCUGCCAGCAACACAUACAGCCUCUGGCAAGUUCAAAAGGACAAUUCCUGCAUUAAGUGUGCAGAGAUUUUCCUUUGACCAUUUUUAAGGCGCCAAUAGCUGGUAUUUAAGAUAAGGGGCUCCCUAACGAGACUCCAAUCUUUGGUUAAUUGUGGGAUCAGCCAAGAAUUUUCUAGUGAUUCAGAUCUCCCCUUGCUCUCUCUCCCGAGCUUUGACACAGUAGCUGGAUCCACAAAAAAGCAUAGAGGAGCGCAGUGGAGGUGUUUCUUCCUGCCAUUCCCUCCGAUCUAGCCUCAGUCCCUGAACCUGGCUCCUCUCUUUGGCCUGCCACAAAACCAGGCUGCCUCAUAAAAGCACAAAGUAUGUGUUGUGUGCUGCAGGGCCUUAGGGGGCGCAUCAGCUGUGCUUCGAAGAAGAGAUGAUGUCCUCCCCAAAGCCCUCUGUGGUAAGGCAGGAAGGAGCAGGCGGGAGCUUCCAGCCAUGACUUCUGCUUUUGCAGAGGCUUCUAAGCCACACGGCGGCCAUCUUGCUUCACUGACAUCAUGCAGCAAGCCUCACGUGGAGGCUUUACUUCUCAUUCUUUAUUAUCCAGACAUAAAUGUGAAAUAAAGGUAAUUUAGACUCAGGUUACAUGCAGUAUAAAAACAGGAGGAGGAAGCUAGCAGCAGCAGUCUGACUUCGGGCUUCAGAAAGCCUGUGAGAGCCUGCCAAAAUAUAGUCUUAACUGAAAGCAUUAGCACAUCUGAAACCCCACAGAUGCCUAUAAACAAAGCAAAAAACAGACCAAAAAUGCUUUCUAGCAAAGCUACUGUCUCCAUCUCCUGGUGGGUGGAGAAGCAGAGCCUACAUGCAGGUUUUGGCUGAGAAUCUGAGAGAGACCACAAACAACCUCCCCAGAUGAAACUAUAUAUGACAAGUUCAGCUUGCAGCAUAUUUGUACAGCCAAGUUAUAAAUCCCUCAAACAGGGUCUCAUAAUGAAAAUGUGAACACUGUCUUAAUAGAUGGCACCUUGACCUGACAGAAAUUUGGCCUCCAUUCCUCUGCCAGAGCAGCCACAAGACAGGGAAAUAAGUGGUCCGCCCUCCAGCGAGGGCCUCUGGAGGGGGAGGAGGGGGUUGACGGAUGUUUCUGUGGACAAAAGAGAGAGGGAUGAGGAAUAAACUGCAAACUGAUCUGUGCAGAAGAAUAAAAGCAGGAUGUGGCAAGGCAGACCUAGGUCAGUGUCACACAGGUGCAAGCCUUGGAAUUAGUUUCCUGAACAUCUGCAGCAAACAUAAAAAAAACAACUGCCAGUACCAAGGAGGGAGAAAAAAUAGCUCAUCUCACACUGCAUGUAGUGAACCAACCAACAAAACAACAGAAAAGACAAAAAAAAGCUUUUUCUGCAACUAUCACAUUCACUGGUCAUUCUGUUCCCAAUUUCCUAGUUUAAGCUGUGUGUUUUGCCACAUCAUUAAAGAAAAUAACAAUCCUUUUGCUUUCCCCAAAACUGUUUGAAAACAUCCCCCUGUUGAGGCCUGAAGUGAGCCAGUCUUCCAGACCUAAACAAAGGAGGACCACUGCACAGAGCUUCUGGCAUGUUCCCCCACACCAACCCCCUCCUGCCAAGUACUUCAGACUAAAUACAAAUUGGAGUCUCCUCCUAGGAAUGCACAAAGAUCCAUCUUAACAAAAUGUCUAAGUAUAUGAUAGGCAAGCAGUCAUUUGUGUGUUUUUCUUUGCCUACGAGAAUGUCUGGGAGAAGAAGAAAAGGUUACUGUUUUACCCGUAAUUAUUUCUGCUUCCCCUUUCAUCCUUCCUAUUCCCAGGGUAAGCAGACAAAACAGCAUACCGGCACCCCAAACUGAAUUCAUUUACAAAGCUUUAAUUUUUCACUUAGCUGCAUACAAAGCCAAGGUACAGUUGAAUGACCUCUCACAUGUGAAGGGCUAAAUUAAUUUGCCUGAGAGCUAAGCUGAGGGCCUCCACUGCUCACAGAAACGACCCAGACAAGAGAGAUUCUCUCACCUUGUCAGGGAAACACACUCCUCCCUCAACAACACCCUCCCACCUCCCCCAAGACAAAAAAUCCCACACAAAUGAACAAACAAAACACAAAAUUAAGAAGUAACUUACCCCCAAAAUAUUUUGAGCCUACUUAACAAACCUCAUGUUUUCAAAGUGAAUGACUGCUGUUUAAUGGUCAGAACGUUUGUUUCUGAACUGAGUUUAAAAAAAAAAAAAAUUUUUUUUAUUCUCCUUUCAUGACUUCUACUGCCUUAAUUAACUGUCUUUGGUAAAUGAAAAGACAUACUUCAUCUAGUAGUAUCACAAAAUCCAUGAAUAAAUAUUUAUCUUUUUUUUUUCCUCAAGAAGAAUAACUUAUCCACAGGCCCAAGUCUGACAAAGUGAAAAGAUUCCCACAUAACAAAAGUUUUCAAAGCAUAAACUUGCCUUUAGCUUUCCAACAGAAACUGUUAGAAAAAAUAUAACAUUAUAAAACAGAGGAUAAGAGGAUAAACUAUUAAGAAGAAAACAACAAUACUGCAGGAGGACAAGGAGGCAAAGUGUAAUUCAAAUUGCCUAGUGGUUUGGGGAACAUGCAUCUUUCCUCCAGAAGUCAAAAUCCUGGGCUCCAACACUGUUAUAAGCAUCUUGAGAUAGCUCACAGCUGGCCUUUAGCGCCAGUCCUCUUAUAAGGAGUAAAGAAAUGGUUGGGGAAAAGAGCACAAAAAAUCCACAAUUCCUGCUACGUUAAUCUCUCGAUGGAUAACGUCAAGGAUGCCCCAGGAGCUGCUGUUCUACACGCACACCUCCUCCACCAUCCGCUGCAUAGUACAAAGGGUCCUUCACUGCAGCAUGGUGAAAACCCCGUUCCUGGCCCGUCUGCAUCCUGCAUCAUGCCUGAUGCACACAGAAAGUUCUUCCAACAGAAUCACAGAAUCAUAGGUCUUGGAAGGGACCUCUGGAGAUCAUCUAGUUCAACCCCUCUUCUAAAGCAGGUUCCCUAGAGAAGAUAGCACAGGGAAGGUGUGGGUUUUGAAUAUUUCAGAGGAGACUCCAACAAUUCACCUCUGGCAGCAAUGAAUUUGUACACAGCUACAAAAAUACUUAUGCUGGUGGGUAACACGGGUAAUUGGAUGGACAGUGCAGCAAAUGUGCCCAAUUCUGACAAGGAUUCAGGAGUCCUGUUUCAUUUUCCUUCCACCUUCCUUUUUCAACCCAAACUGAAACUUAACCAAGAAGGUGGCAGCACAGACAUUCCUGAUGCUGCCACAAGUCCAGUACUACUGACACACUGCAGAGAACAAAUUCUUUCUCUCCUCUGCAAUUCACAAAGUGACAUUGGAACUACAGAUGGCAAAGUAUACAGAGAGACGCAAGUUAGCUCAAGAAAUGCCAUUAUGUCUGCGCUGACCAGCUCAGGUAGAUGGAUAACCUUUCUCUGCAAGCAGAGCUGGCUCAAACAUCUUGCUUCACUUCUUACUGUCAAAACAGGGAAAAGAGAGAAAGCCACUUCAGAAAGAGAGGUGAAAAAGCUUUGACUCUUAACACAAGCCUUACCCUAUAGUGCCUUCUGCUUCCCAGAGUUACCCCUUCCAGCAUUCAGUCUUAAAGGUAGAAGACAUUUAUUUAAUAGCAGUAGCAGAGCGGUGGAGAAAGUCUUUCUAGCUGCAGUCUGAAGGAAGGGAGAUGGUGGGGGACUUUUACAUCCCCCCCCUCUUUAAAUGGAGCCAGUGGAUACUUUUAUACUGAACUCAACCUGGAGAAAAAGUCAUUUAUAGCUUUGUGUUUGGGCUUUUCUGUUGUUUUUUUUUUUCCUUCAUUCCAGGAAAAGGAGAAUAGAUGGUUGUUUUUAUUUAAUAACAUGUAACUAACUGGAACAAACAAACAAAAAAAAGUACAAUCUGGAUAAAGGACUUUUUAAUGAAGGCACUGUAAAUGACAUUUUCCCUCUACUUUAGAAUGCUGCAAAUAGCAAAUUAGCAUACCUCUGAGUGGAAUUUCUGCUACAGGAGAGAUGAAAGGUUAACUGUCUAAAGAGUAAAGAAUAUGUUUGACAUCCAUUUAGAAAAGAAAGAGUCUCCUAAUAAAAGCAGAGGCUCCACUUGAUGCUCCUAAUUCUCCUUCAGUGUUUGCAUACACUUUCAAAUAAUUAGAGAACCCCACUCCAAAAAGCUCGACUAAAAAAAUAAGGAAAACAAAACAAAACAAAACCACUGAAGACCUCCAUGUCUUGUUUGCUAGGUUUGUAUGGGGGCUCAGGAGGUCACAGUGAUUGACAAGCAUUCGGUGCCUGUAGGAAGGCUGAUAAUGCACACACAUCACUUUGGAGCCUAGCUCUGAGUACUGAUCAUGCCUAAUAAGCACUGGGCAGCCAGCAGCCCAAACAACGCAGCAAGCCAACCUCUGUGAACUAGGGGUGGCUCAGAGAUUGCAAAUGAGGUUCUUUAUCAAUUAGCACCAAUUAGAAAGCCAGACAGUAUGGUAUAUCAUGUAAAUAAAACCUUCCCCGCUCCAAGGCAUUUCCAUAAAGCUACCUUUGUUGCCAUUUUUUAGCAUGCACCUUACUGCUGCAUACAUAUGCCUGGGCUCCCAUGAAAGAAUUUGCUCUAAGUAUUAUUAGGGCCAUAAAGUUGUUCAGAAAAGCAAUUUGAGCUGGGGUACGCAGGCUUGAGUUUCUGCAACUGGCCAUAACCUAACAGCUAAGAUGGGGGUUUCAUAAGGUAUGACAGAGGCAGGAAACCACGGCUCAAGUCAGACAAGCCUGUCUCCAGUUGGGCUCCAAGAGUACCCACACAGCCUGCCUCAUUACCACCCUGUGCAUCACCAGCAGCCAGCUGCUCUGUGAAGGAGACCACCACCAGGGAAGCAGGUGAUGAUUCUCCCUUUCUCCCAGUGUCUAUAAACUAGGUCUUGUGGAACUUGUGCAUUAUUCUAUGCACAGCUGAAGAGAGCAAACUGCUUCCACAGGUGCGCUCAUAACAGUGGUUUAUGAAGUGACUCCACGGAGACAAUGUGUCCUCCAGCAUGUGUGCUGGUCAGCUUCAGCAGCUGUUUUAACUUUGCCUUGUUUCCAGGGCAUGGUAUAGCUCAUUAGGUUACACCUAGCCCCAGCUAGCUCUUUAAAGACAGCUGUGCCUGUUUAGCAAGGGAAAAACAACCCUAUUCAGUGUUUAAAUGCUUACCUUCAAUGAACAGACCUAUUGACUGAUAAUAUUGAUGAUGCUUUUCAAGCUUUACUGAACUUCUGUGUUGGCUAGAGGAUUAAUAACAUAAAUAUGAUUAAGCUUUCAAUAACAGCAGAUGACAAGGAAAAGAGAAUCAGUAUUAUUUUACUUUACCAAAAUCACCCUCGGCACCACGCUUGCAAUAAGAGUAAUACUUUGAUCUAAGCAUUUUUCACUUGCAAAACUGAACCACGUUUUACAAAGGAAGCCAGCAUCACCAUUUUGAACAAAGAACUGCUAUCCAUUUCUUUUCCAUGUAUAUUUUUUUCAAAUGCUACUGCAACAGUUUAGAAAAAAAUAUAUAUAUCAGGGCAAAUCGUGGAGCUUUGGCAUAGUGCCUUUGAAAGGAAGGCCUUUAUCUUCUUCCCAUUCAACCAAAGCUGGCCUCUACCUUUUCCUGCCCAGAAAGGACCUGGGGUUUGGCCUAUCACUAGAGACACGGAGAGCACUGCUGCUGUGCAGCAAAGCUCAGGGAGUCCAGCUGGGCUCUUUCAUCUCACCCAUUGCUGGAGUGCAGUGUGAAAACAAGACAGGGUAAGUGCAGCAAUGAAGUUCCAGGGAGAAAAUAACAUAUUCUACGUAGCAAGAAAACUGCUUCCAAAGAGACGGAAAAGUCUAAUUCUUUUAGACAGCUUAGCUGGGUUAAUUAUUUUUGGCAAAACACACACAUUCCUGGAAAAGUGUGUAACACAAAAGAAUAAAAUAAGUGUGUACUCCUUGAAAGUGAAGUUAAGACCUUAAUAAGUGCUACAAUUACUUCAUAGACUUGCUAAAAACGCUUGAGGUUAAAAAACAAUAGUCUUGCUUAAACAGCUUCAUUUGCAUAUAUUCUUUAAACAAAGCCCACAACCAAGCAAUAGAAACAAUAACAACAACAACAACAAAAAAGCCCAAGUGUAUAUUUGAGAAGCAUUUUAAUAUUUCAGCAACUCUAGAAACUGAACUAAAUGAUAUCAGAGUAAGAACUGCUUUUCUCUUUGGAACUGUAAGUAUUGCGCAGUUAGUGACAGGUGUGAAAAAAGGAGUAUAACUGUGACAAAGCACACUGCCUCACUUUCCCAUUCCCUCCCAAUUCCUCAUUCAUGGCUUGUUUCUUCUUACUUUGCAAGAGAGGCCUUCUAUUCACUUCCAGUGGGGCUACAGAAGUAUUUCAGGAGGCAGAAGAACAGGGUGCCACAAGGAUAACAUAAACACACAUGCAAAGAAUAGACUUCUCCAGAGGCACCUUUGUUGGAUGUCCCAUAAAUCAGUGUCACUGUAUUACAGCAACUGCUCUCUUUUAACAUACUUUGAGCUAUCCCUCUCUGUAUGGGUUAGUUGAUACAGAUUGCAAAUGCCACAGCUAAUUUGGCAGUAAAUGGAGUAAACCAAGUGACUGUUUCUCAGCUCUUGGUAUGUUUUGUUUAAGAACAGAUUUCCCUGACCAGACUACCAGCUUCAAGGUGAAGCUUUGGCAGAAGUCUUGAGAGAAGUUUUCCUCAUGAGAAAGAGGAGGAUACAAAGGCUGGUUUUGUCCUCAGACCCAAGACUACAGCAACUGUCCUGAACUUAGUCUACUUUGCUAUCAUCAGUACUCCAACAAGAGCUAAGUGCAAGUCUAUGCAUCUGCAAGUGUUAAAAGCAAUUUAUUUCUUACCUGGUUUUAUCUAAUCUACUCUAGUUUGACAGCAAGAAAGGAUGGAUGAGGUACUCAUGAUAUUUCUUGUGAAAAUACACUUUAAUUCCAGCUCCACAGCAUAGGAAACAAUUAACUGACAGUGGCUGUUUAUACACACAAUCACCUGUAAAUCUUUAAGGCUUGAGAGUAAGGUUUCCACUCCUUCAAAAUCUCUGGCCAGCAGCACAGCACACAAUUAAAAAUAUUAAUGGUAAACAACAAAGAAAAUGUUAGUCUAGAAGGCAAAUUUACCUAAACAUUUACUGAGGAAGCAUAAAGGAAGAAAAAAGGUAAUAGAAACCAUUUCCAAACUCAUUCCCACAUUGCAGCAAUCAGUGAAACAGCCACUUUAACACAACUAUGUGAGAAGACAGACACUGACCAGUUUCUGGAAAUAACAUUUCCUAGCCUAUUUUUUUUUUUUUAAUCUCUGCCAUAUUUCAGCCAUUUUCAAGAUUUGAAUGCUUAUUUACUCACGUGCUUAUAUUUAUGGUGGUCACAACCAUGCAAUAAAUUGGAUUCAUCACUGAAUUCUUGAGUACUUCAUUUUUGGCCUGCCAAUUAAUCCCAACUGUUGUAUCUUUUCCUAAAUUUCAAGUCUUUGAGUAGCUUCAAACUGCCAGAGAAAUUCUUUCAUUUCCAAAUAUGAUGAAAAAUCCAUUCCAAAUUACAGCACAGCAUAAUUUGGUCCUGGACAAGUGACAGAUUUAAAGGUCUGAUUUCUUGUAACCCUUCACAGCUAGAAAUUUCUGUGGCAUGGGAAAAAUAUCAUUUUCUAAUCAUUGGAUAGUGUAAAGAUAAGGGCUUUUUUUUUUCCCCCAACACAGAGAACCUGUUUUAGAUAAAAUGUUAUGGAUUUUCAUUUAUCACAAAUUCAACUACAGUAAGCUCAUGAGAAACCAUGAAAACCUCUAAAAUUAUUUAAAAUUUCUUUUAUGUAACUGAAAGCUACAUGACUGUGUUCUUUAUCUGAAGUUUCCCCAUAGCUACAACAUUAUUUAAUUCUGUUAGCAGUAUGGCUAGCAGAUAUAACAAAUACAUUUAUAGAAAAUACAUUAACAUACCUGUUUAAAUGUUUAAAUUAAAUGUUCGAAAUGAAACAAAGAAAAACAUAUUAGAGGACAAAUGAGACGGUCAAAAUGAAUUAUAUGCUAAUGUUUUGCAUUAUUCUGACAUUACCAAAUGACUCCCGCCUUAAUGUAGAGGCAUUAACAUUCACAUAUGCUUUUCAUCAGGUAUUUGAAGCAGGUGGACCAGCUGAAGUAAAAUACGAACAGAUCAUCUAUGAAGAUAACUUAUCAUUGCUCUUCUGAAAAUUAUGGACUGCAGAGUCAUGCAAUCCAUUAUGGCAAUCUGCUCAUAUCACUUAACAGAUGCUGGUCUGUGAACCUAAAAAUAAUAGCAACUAACAGCCUGUCAUCAUUCUCAGGCUGAGGAAAUACUCUUAACAUAGCAAGGUAUAUACACAAAUAUUUCAGGGACUGUGGUGAACAUCUGACUUAGAAAUACCUCUGAAUUGACACAAUGCAUUUCCUUUGAACAUCCUUCUGUAAACACCCUUUUUUAGUCCCAUUAACUAAUAUACCAACAUUCUUAACAUCAGCUCCUGAACUGACAUCACCCAAGUACACUGAAGAUGAACUUUACUUUCUCUGCUGAGGAACGUAAAGGAAAGAAAGCUUGAUUAUUUACUUAUUUAUUUUUCUUGAAGCUUAGAACAUUAAUUUUUGGAGCUACACUCAUCCUACCAUGACCAAGUGAGUAACAGGGAAAGGAUCCCUACACAGGCCAGUUGCAGGAUGUCUGGUUUUGGCGCAGAAGAAGAAGUAAAUCGUGUCAGCUUCACCUACUGAACUUCUGAGAAUGAGUCAAAAGGCAGUUGCAUGACUGACUUUUUGUAAAGAUCAAGCCAUCAGGUGGUUUGAUCAGCCACUUAAAUCUGCCUACCACAUAUGGAGCUCUGCCAUAAAGAAAUCUGAGUCCCUGGCCGAGACAGAAUAUGGAAAAAUGAGGAAAUGCUUAAAUAUAAACACAUGAAUGCAAAACAUACACCAUUGGUUAUGUCACAAGGAAUAGCAUGUCCUUGUUUUCAAAGGUAAGCAGAAGGAAAUCUCAGUAGUGCACCUGCAGACCAGGCUGUCUCCAAGGAUCGAUGCUUCCAGAGAAGCAUGAGAAGAGACCACAGGCCAGGCCAUGCUGUAUUUUCUCAGCAGGGCUCUACUGCUAACAAAAAAGAUACGACUGGACUGUUUGAGUACUCAGGACACUGUAUCUGAAAAGGGUUUAGAUAACUCCAUUUGAGAUCGCUUUCUUCCUGUGAUCAACGUAAGUUACAAUUUGAUGACAAUACUGCUGCAUAUAGUCAUCUAACACAUAGCACAGUAUAAAAACUUCGCAAAAACCAUGACAUUUUUCCAAGCCUACAGAUCAUUAAUGGAAAGAAAUUCCAGGAUCUCGAUACUGAUCGUAUUCUGACAUUUUAUCAGGAUGUGGACUGUGCAAGUAAUACAUGGUUAGCCUUGCCAUCAAUAUUCUCUACAUAGGUUUCUUCAUUUUGCAUGAAACAUAAAAAAACAUUGUAUUUAGAACUAACUGGUUGAUACUUUCAGAAUAAAUGCAAAAAUCCAUCUUGACCAGAACAAAAUACCUUUGCAAACCAAAGACAUUUAUCUCCCAAAAUAAAGCAAACACUGUAGACUAAAAUUAAGUGAAUCUGCCUCAGAAAUUAAUUUGUCAUUACUAUUCAAUUCAGAACUUAAGGUUUUGCAUUUCUUCCUAACAAUUUUUGAAAUAAAUCUGUUUACCUGUUCAGUGCUUACAGCCUCAAGAGUGAUGUCUGUCUAAGAACGGAACAUUACUGUGAAUUGCUUCAGUUACAGUAUCCUAAUGGACAGAUUUAGUAACCUGGCUAAGAAUUGGACUUAUUGUCUUCAAUCAAACUCAGAUCAUUCGUGUUGUAAGAACUCAUAUGUUUAUACAGCAGGUGAAUUAGGCCCAUAGCCAUCAGUCUACAAGUAACAGAGAGAUCAUUUUUUAUGCUAAGGAGUGCAUUUCAAAAAGCCAUUAUAUGUUUCUAGACUGGAAAUAUCUCAUCAGAAAGUGAUGUUAUUUCACAGGCUGUUUGGGGCUGUCCCAGAAUUUUAGUUUUUAAGAGCUCAGACAUGAAAGCAAUCAAGCUUGUGCUGCUAUAUAAUAGGUUUUCACUGUGAAUAUUAACAGAGUCUGAACUGUGGCACAAAUUGCUUACGUGUAUGUUAAAUAUGAACUAAUAAAAUUUCUCAGUAGAGCAAAGCCUCUGGCAGGCAGACAGAUGUGACUGGAACGGCACUGCCAGCACAGCCCAGGCUGCCUGCCUCCCAGCAGGGCGGUGACAGAGCACUCCUGCCUCUCAAGGAAACCUUCCUGGCCCCCUGAAGUAACACCAGCAUCCUUCUUUCUGAAAGCAGGCAACACAAUUGGCUGGGAGCCUCCUUCUCACUGCAAAAGUGAAAAGUUCACAGUGCUUCUUGGAGUAUGGAGAAAAAAAAUCUUUUGAAUUGACAAGCUCGUCUCUAAUGGCAUCUUCUCAUCCCUCCGCACAGCAGGUCUUACAAUUUAAUCGUAUAAUCAGUGAGAUGAAUGGAUCAGUUCACGGCUCUGAACUACAGACUUCAGCAAACAUUACUGCACUGAGACUCAAGCAAACCCUUUUACACAGUCAUGAGGGACAAAUGUAAACACAGGAUGCCAGAAGCUGAGACCUUCAGAAUAGAUCUCCUAUGCUUAUGCCUUAAAUCCAGUCUAAAAUAAACCUCAUGAAGGUAAGAAAAUGAUGUUAGCAGACAUAUUAAGGAAAAAAAGAAGACUUACACACAGGUUCAGAAUUCCCCACGCUCAGAAAGUACUGGUGAAAUCAAUAUUUAAUCCACACUUGAUGUUCUGGGCAUAGAUGGCAAGAACCAGAAUCUGUUUUGACAGACUUGCAAACGUCUAGAAGCUUCAGACCCAUUUUUGCUCAGUUUACGAUCCUAUGCCAUAUGAACAGCAAGCCUGAAAUUCUCUGGACAUUUUUCUGUCCUCCUGUACGUGCUCUGGGAGCAUCAGAGCUUUUGUCACCUCCCUUUCUGCAGCACUGCUCUCAGCUGUAGCACACCUAUUGUUAGCUAUUUCCUACUGUUUUUAUUUUUCAAACAGUGCUGUGCCAUGGACACAGAAGAUAAAGAUCAGUAAACUUAUAAUAUGGAACUUAAACCCUGAAGUCAGCACAUGCAGCUAGAAAGUCACGUAUGGUGAACUGGAACUUCUAACAACAACAAGCAAAGUCAUUAAUCACGAGACACGUCCUGCACAGAACACAGAGAAAAUGUCUGUCAGAAUCUGGAUGAAACCCUGCUCACCUCCGUCAGCAUGAGUAUCAUCUUUCCAACAACAGCAAAAAUCUUUUGGUCUGGCAAGCAACCUCCUGUGCUAUCUGAACAGCCUGGGCCUCACAGCUACCAGUGACUGAGUUCCCUCAAAUGAACCAGAUGCCAACGCUGAUGCCACCAUCAGAACGGUGGUUUGGGUCAUAUUUUCCUUUUUUUUUUUUUUCUUAUUUCUUCUCUGUCAAAACUCAGUCCUCAGGAAAUAGCACGUAAUUCUAAAUAUAUGUGGACUAUCCUUUAUGAUAAGUUUCUUACAAGACUAAAAACUACAACUAAAAUUCCAAAUAAGGCAAGCAGAAUGGCAUGAUUUCUUGCGAGAACAGCAAGAAAGAUGCCUAUGGGAAUGGCAUAAAUGGAAUUAAAAAAAAAUGGAACCAAAAUGGGAUUUCUUGAAGUCAAAGAAGAGACUGGCCUGUGAAAGGAGUAUGCUUUCAGGGAUUAUGAUCAGCACUACUACUUUGUUCUAUUUUGAGAAAUAUUCUUACAAUCAAAUAAAGUUAGCUAACCCAAA
This is a long non-coding RNA of Gallus gallus (chicken), 12346 nucleotides long. RefSeq lists it as uncharacterized. The record is from RefSeq and is a predicted model, not a curated record. The transcript is spliced from 2 exons. NCBI's taxonomy places the organism in Eukaryota, Metazoa, Chordata, Aves, Galliformes, Phasianidae.